GGUGGCUUAGUGGUAGAGCACAUGCCUUGCAUGCAUGAGGCCCUGGGUUCGAUUCCUCAGUACCA
RNAcentral lists this transfer RNA (65 nucleotides) under Dipodomys ordii (Ord's kangaroo rat). It matches the Rfam family "tRNA". Rfam says of the family: Transfer RNA (tRNA) molecules are approximately 80 nucleotides in length. Their secondary structure includes four short double-helical elements and three loops (D, anti-codon, and T loops). Further hydrogen bonds mediate the characteristic L-shaped molecular structure. tRNAs have two regions of fundamental functional importance: the anti-codon, which is responsible for specific mRNA codon recognition, and the 3' end, to which the tRNAs corresponding amino acid is attached (by aminoacyl-tRNA synthetases). tRNAs cope with the degeneracy of the genetic code in two manners: having more than one tRNA (with a specific anti-codon) for a particular amino acid; and 'wobble' base-pairing, i.e. permitting non-standard base-pairing at the 3rd anti-codon position. Lineage: Eukaryota; Metazoa; Chordata; Mammalia; Rodentia; Heteromyidae. The record is from Rfam by way of RNAcentral.